RNAcentral lists this ribosomal RNA (385 nucleotides) under Clydaea sp. Its description in RNAcentral is "partial small subunit ribosomal RNA". It matches the Rfam family "Eukaryotic small subunit ribosomal RNA", at positions 587 to 975 of the family's 1831-position model. The record is from RNAcentral. Lineage: Eukaryota; Fungi; Chytridiomycota; Chytridiomycetes; Lobulomycetales; Lobulomycetaceae.
AGCUCCAAUAGCGUAUAUUCAAGUUGUUGCAGUUAAAAAGCUCGUAGUUGAAUUUCAGAUUUGGUUAAGUGGUUUAGUCGCAAGAUUAACACUGCUUUGACUGGGUCUUUCCUUCUAGGGAACCAAGUUUGCUCUUUCUUGAGUGCCUUGGGGAUCUAGGACUGUUACUUUGAAAAAAUUAGAGUGUUUAAAACAGGCUUAUGCUUGAAUACAUUAGCAUGGAAUAACGGAAUAGGACUUUGUUUCUAUUUUGUUGGUUUUCAGAAACGAGGUAAUGAUUAAUAGGGAUAGUUGGGGACAUUAGUAUUCCAUAGUCAGAGGUGAAAUUCUUGGAUUUAUGAAAGACUAACUUCUGCGAAAGCAUUUGUCAAGGAUGUUUUCAUUA